This 395-nucleotide ribosomal RNA is filed under the name uncultured bacterium. RNAcentral describes it as "partial 16S ribosomal RNA". It matches the Rfam family "Bacterial small subunit ribosomal RNA", at positions 338 to 730 of the family's 1533-position model. The record is from RNAcentral.
CCUACGGGAGGCAGCAGUGAGGAAUAUUGGUCAAUGGGCGAAAGCCUGAACCAGCCAAGUCGCGUGAGGGAUGAAGGUUCUAUGGAUUGUAAACCUCUUUUAUAAGGGAAUAAAGUGCGGGACGUGUCCCGUUUUGUAUGUACCUUAUGAAUAAGGAUCGGCUAACUCCGUGCCAGCAGCCGCGGUAAUACGGAGGAUCCGAGCGUUAUCCGGAUUUAUUGGGUUUAAAGGGUGCGUAGGCGGACUUUGAAGUUAGCGGUGAAAGUUGGUGGCCUAACCAUAGACUGGCCGUUGAAACUGGUCUUCUAGAGUAUGUUUGAGGUAGGCGGAAUGCGUGGUGUAGCGGUGAAAUGCUUAGAUAUCACGCAGAACCCCGAUUGCGAAGGCAGCAUGCC